UACGUGGGGAGCAAGCGUUGUUCGGAUUUACUGGGCGUAAAGGGCGCGUAGGCGGUAGCACAAGUCAGUUGUGAAAUCUCCGGGCUUAACUCGGAAAGGUCAACUGAUACUGUGCGACUAGAGUGCAGAAGGGGCAACUGGAAUUCCUGGUGUAGCGGUGAAAUGCGCAGAUAUCAGGAGGAACACCAAUGGCGAAGGCAGCACUCUGGGACGUGACUGACGCUGAGACGCGAAAGCGUGGGGAGCAAACAGG
This 253-nucleotide ribosomal RNA is filed under the name uncultured bacterium. RNAcentral describes it as "partial 16S ribosomal RNA". It matches the Rfam family "Bacterial small subunit ribosomal RNA", at positions 524 to 776 of the family's 1533-position model. The record is from RNAcentral.